This is a long non-coding RNA of Mus musculus (house mouse), 692 nucleotides long. RefSeq annotates it as predicted gene, 46286. The record is from RefSeq and is a predicted model, not a curated record. NCBI's taxonomy places the organism in Eukaryota, Metazoa, Chordata, Mammalia, Rodentia, Muridae. The transcript is spliced from 3 exons.
AUGCGCGAGUUGUUCUUCUUGGGGCGAGAGCGGUGGCUGGCUUCUAGUGCCGCCAGGUGUGCUGCGUAGCCUUCGCUCAGGAACUGUGGGGGCAACAAGCGUCAGAUGCCAUUACAUCGCAGCCACUUGGAUUCUCCCAUGCAUCCAGCAGGGGGCCUGGCCCAAGGCAUCAUUCAGUAGAGGUGAAUGAAUAAAAGAAAGGAUGAGCAGGUCCAGCACACGCUGCUUCGCCGUCUACCUGACAACUCACACUCAUAUGUCAAGACUAAGCCCACAAGUUAUUACCUACUAUCAGCUACUCGGGAUUCCCCAGGCGGACCUAAGACCUUCCUCCUCUGUUUGCCAAUAUUGCCCCUUUUCUGCCACACACCAGUAAUUGUCAAUUUCCAUGCCUUUCUUUCUCUAGAUCAGGGAUUGGCAGACUUUUUCUUUGAAAAGCCAAAUAGUAAAUAUUUUAGGCUUUGAGCUCUGCCACAGCAACUCGACUCGGCUCUUCUACUGCAUUGCAAAGGCAGCCACAGACAAUACAUAAACAGAUGAGCUUGGCUGUGUGCCAAGAAAACUUUAUUUAUGGACACCAAAAUUUGAACUUGUGUAGUUUUCAUUUGUCUGCUCCUGCUCUCUAUGUGUGAGUCUCUCUCUCUCUCUCUCUCUCUCUCUCUCUCUCUCUCUCUCUCUCUCUCUCUCUCUCU